UUGCCCCAGUAACGGCGAGUGAAGCGGCAACAGCUCAAAUUUGAAAUCUGGCUCUUUUAGAGUCCGAGUUGUAAUUUGCAGAGGGCGCUUUGGCUUUGGCAGCGGUCCAAGUUCCUUGGAACAGGACGUCACAGAGGGUGAGAAUCCCGUACGUGGUCGCUGGCUAUUGCCGUGUAAAGCCCCUUCGACGAGUCGAGUUGUUUGGGAAUGCAGCUCUAAAUGGGAGGUACAUUUCUUCUAAAGCUAAAUAUUGGCCAGAGACCGAUAGCGCACAAGUAGAGUGAUCGAAAGAUGAAAAGCACUUUGGAAAGAGAGUCAAACAGCACGUGAAAUUGUUGAAAGGGAAGCGCUUGCAGCCAGACUUGCUUGCAGUUGCUCAUCCGGGCUUUUGCCCGGUGCACUCUUCUGCAGGCAGGCCAGCAUCAGUUUGGGCGGUAAGAUAAAGGUCUCUGUCACGUACCUCUCUUCGGGGAGGCCUUAUAGGGGAGACGACAUAUUACCAGCCUGGACUGAGGUCCGCGCAUCUGCUAGGAUGCUGGCGUAAUGGCUGUAAGCGGCCCGUCUUGAAACACGGACCAAGGAGUCUAACAUCUAUGCGAGUGUUUGGGUGUCAAGCCCGAGCGCGUAAUGAAAGUGAACGGAGGUAGGAACCCGCAAGGGUGCACUAUCGACCGAUCCUGAUGUCUUCGGAAGGAUUUGAGUAAGAGCAUGGCUGUUGGGACCCGAAAGAUGGUGAACUAUGCUUGAAUAGGGUGAAGCCAGAGGAAACUCUGGUGGAGGCUCGCAGCGGUUCUGACGUGCAAAUCGAUCGUCAAAUUUGGGCAUAGGGGCGAAAGACUAAUCG
This 844-nucleotide ribosomal RNA is filed under the name Alternaria quercicola. RNAcentral describes it as "eukaryotic LSU rRNA". It matches the Rfam family "Eukaryotic large subunit ribosomal RNA", at positions 75 to 937 of the family's 3401-position model. The record is from RNAcentral. Lineage: Eukaryota; Fungi; Ascomycota; Dothideomycetes; Pleosporales; Pleosporaceae.